Paramuricea clavata is the source of this 1225-nucleotide non-coding RNA. Lineage: Eukaryota; Metazoa; Cnidaria; Anthozoa; Malacalcyonacea; Plexauridae. The record is from the annotation of a GenBank genome assembly.
CACACAGGAAAUUCAUUAUAUGUCAACACUUUAAAAAUAGACGCGAUUCUGAGAUAAUGAGAAUCAAAGUUACAUUAUAAAUAGAAGAGAGCUUUUCUGCUGGUUGAAAUUUUGUAGCGAACUUAGUGAAAACAACAUUGCAAGAAGGAAAGGAAGUUUUGAAAAAGUUUGUAAGUUCUUAGUUAUAUUUUUAUUAUCAUUGUAAAGUUCAUGGAAGACAGAUAAAUUUUUUGUGUUGAUGGCCAAUGCUUUCAAAAAAACCGAUUGACCGCCCAUUUGAAAUUGUACACAUAUUGUGUUAGCUAUCCUUAUAGAGUACAUUUUUAAAAGAUUAGAUAUUCGAAACUCAGAAUAUUAACACGCAAUCUCCCUCUCCUAAAACAGCAUGUUAGUCAAAUUGUGCAUGAAAACACUGUAUUAUAGUGUUGUAUGUUACUUCAGGAGGUCUAUUUGAGCAUUAGCAUGAUCGGAAUGUUUAAACUAAUUUCGGAUUCUGCUUCAGUCGCUUCAUGAUGAAUUAUUCGCAAGUAUUUGCAGUUGUCACCAUCCUGUGUUUCAUUGGGCUGUGUUCUGGUUUGCCAAGUUGGCAUCUAGACAAGAAAGAUUCUGAAGGUAAAGAAACUGUUAGUAUAUUACUGGAUAUUUGAAAUCGAAUCCCUUCAGGUUGUCUUUAACUUUGUGCACAUUUCGUUCCUAAUAUUUUCGUUACUCUUUUUGUGCUCGUUAGCAGUCUCAUAUUCUUUUCGUUUUGCUAUUUUUUUUAUGCCGUGUAGUUGAACACAAUAAUUCACGAUAUAAAAUAUAACAUCACUUUCUGGCAGCCUGAGACAAAUAUCCAUUUUUUCUGAUAUAUUUGAAAUGGUGGGGGAAUGUUUCAAGAUUCUAUCACUGCGUUUUCAUUUAGAUGAUUCGACGGAGAUACUCACUGAGACAACGUAUUGCACAUGCAAGGAUGGUACUACUGGUGUAAUGCGUGCUUUUCAAUGCAGCGGCUCAGAAAAGAAAUGCGGCCCAGGCACGUUCCCUCCGUUCACCAUAUGUUGCAAACGUGUUUAGUUGAAGAAGUCAAUAAAGCAAGAACGUUUGAGGAAAUUACCACAACAUAUUUUUUCUUACUUUAUAUAUAGAGUUAAUACAAAAAAUAACGAUUUUGCUCUUAUACCUUGUAUCAGUGAAGCGUUGUAAUUGUAUGUAGUAGAAAUAUUUGAAAUACAGUCAAGGAAAC